ACGCUCGACACCUACGGGAGGCAGCAGUGGGGAAUAUUGCACAAUGGGGGAAACCCUGAUGCAGCGACGCCGCGUGAGCGAAGAAGUAUUUCGGUAUGUAAAGCUCUAUCAGCAGGGAAGAAACUGACGGUACCUGACUAAGAAGCACCGGCUAAAUACGUGCCAGCAGCCACGGUAAUCUGAGCGGGCUGGCAAGGC
Molecule: ribosomal RNA, 198 nt
Filed under: uncultured bacterium
Lineage: Bacteria
Description: partial 16S ribosomal RNA
Rfam family: Bacterial small subunit ribosomal RNA
Source: RNAcentral